RNAcentral lists this signal recognition particle RNA (96 nucleotides) under Holosporaceae bacterium. Its description in RNAcentral is "signal recognition particle sRNA small type". It matches the Rfam family "Bacterial small signal recognition particle RNA". From Rfam's summary of the family: The signal recognition particle (SRP) is a universally conserved ribonucleoprotein involved in the co-translational targeting of proteins to membranes. Lineage: Bacteria; Pseudomonadati; Pseudomonadota; Alphaproteobacteria; Holosporales; Holosporaceae. The record is from RNAcentral.
CUGGGGGAUAGUUGGACGCUGAGGAGCGCAAACCCGGUCAGGUUCGGAAGAAAGCAGCCGUAGUGAACACCGAGCGGGUCGGCUGUCCCUUUGGCG